This 403-nucleotide ribosomal RNA is filed under the name uncultured bacterium. RNAcentral's name for it is "bacterial SSU rRNA". It matches the Rfam family "Bacterial small subunit ribosomal RNA", at positions 354 to 774 of the family's 1533-position model. The record is from RNAcentral.
GUGGGGAAUCUUGCACAAUGGGGGAAACCCUGAUGCAGCGACGCCGCGUGAACGAUGAAGCCCUUCGGGGUGUAAAGUUCUUUCGACAGGAACGAUAAUGACGGUACCUGGAGAAGAAGCUGCGGCUAACUACGUGCCAGCAGCCGCGGUAAUACGUAGGCAGCGAGCGUUGUUCGGAGUUACUGGGCGUAAAGAGUGCGUAGGCGGCGAGCCAAGUUUGGUGUGAAAUCUCCCGGCUUAACCGGGAGGGUGCGCCGAAGACUGGGAAGCUGGAGUGUGGGAAAGGCAGGCGGAAUUCCUGGUGUAGCGGUGAAAUGCGUAGAUAUCAGGAGGAACACCGGCGGUGUAGACGGCUUGCUAGACCAUAACUGACGCUGAGGCACGAAAGCGUGGGUAGCAAACA